RNAcentral lists this ribosomal RNA (393 nucleotides) under uncultured bacterium. Its description in RNAcentral is "bacterial SSU rRNA". It matches the Rfam family "Bacterial small subunit ribosomal RNA", at positions 28 to 422 of the family's 1533-position model. The record is from RNAcentral.
GACAAACGCUGGCGGCGUGCUUAACACAUGCAAGUCGAGCGGUAAGGCCCCUUCGGGGGUACACGAGCGGCGAACGGGUGAGUAACACGUGGGUGACCUGCCCUCAGCUCUGGGAUAAGCCUGGGAAACUGGGUCUAAUACCGGAUAUGACUCCAUGACGCAUGUCGUGGGGUGGAAAGCCUUGUGCGGCUGGGGAUGGGCCCGCGGCCUAUCAGCUUGUUGGUGGGGUGAUGGCCUACCAAGGCGACGACGGGUAGCCGGCCUGAGAGGGCGACCGGCCACACUGGGACUGAGACACGGCCCAGACUCCUACGGGAGGCAGCAGUGGGGAAUCUUGCGCAAUGGGCGAAAGCCUGACGCAGCGACGCCGCGUGAGGGAUGACGGCCUGGUGU